UGCAACCUACCAGAGCAUGCCUCUCUCUAGUGACCCACCUCCCCCCAGCCAUGCUCCAGCUGCCCAUACCAGCCAGUCAGUCCAUUCAAACUAGGAUGCACUGAUUUGGUUACAGCUCUCACAAUGCAAUCAUUUCACCUCUGAAUAUUCCUGCACUGACACAGGAGUGUUUUGGGGACAUCUCAAAUAUGCAAACCAUAACACCUUCCCUUGAAGUUCUUUGGCUUCAGGAGCUCCAGGCCUCUGCAGCAGCUUGGCCUGUGCAGAACCCGGUCGAGGGUGGCACCAGGGCUUUUUCAGCCCCCUGGAUCUUCCACCACUUGUUUUCUAGGUGAACCAAAAUGAAAAGAUUAAGCACCACAUCAUUUUAUAUGUGUCACCAAGGCAGGCAGAGGCAAGAAGAGCUGCUUGAGAUAAGGUAUUUUCUUUCCUAAAACAAAACUCCGGAGAUUCAUUGUAGGGUUUCACAUUAAAGCAAAGUGAAGCAGCACAAGUAGGCAGGCAAGCAAACUGUGUUUCUCAAAGCUCAAAGCCUUUAUCCAAGUAGCUUUAAUGAAGCUUUAAAAAGCAACAACCAACAGUGGCAGAAGAUUUAGUUCCAGAAGGGAGCAAUAAAAAAUGAAAUUCAUUGAAGAUUAGAAAUAUUGGAAAACUAGUGGAAAAAAUCAUGGUUAAGUGUGCUUAUCAGAUUACUGGGAAUCUGAGGAAAGAAUCAACCCAUUCGGCUCAAACCCCAUCCCUGAAAUCUAAUUUUCACAUUAAACCAACCGAUUGGGGAGCAGCCUUGGUUUUGCUAGUAUUCUGCUUUUGCAAGAUGGAUUUAUACAUAAAAUGCUGGACCUUGCCCUUUCCUAGUGUAGGCCACCCACAGGGCCCUCAGGAUUUCA
Molecule: long non-coding RNA, 887 nt
Filed under: Marmota monax (woodchuck)
Lineage: Eukaryota; Metazoa; Chordata; Mammalia; Rodentia; Sciuridae
Source: RNAcentral